Molecule: ribosomal RNA, 497 nt
Filed under: uncultured bacterium
Lineage: Bacteria
Description: bacterial SSU rRNA
Rfam family: Bacterial small subunit ribosomal RNA
Source: RNAcentral
AUUGAACGCUGGCGGCGUGCUUAACACAUGCAAGUCGAUCGGUAACAGGUGUAGCAAUACAUGCUGACGAGAGGCGGACGGGUGAGUAAUGCUUGGGAAUCUGCCUAUUAGUGGGGGACAACCCGGGGAAACUCGGGCUAAUACCGCAUACGCUCUACGGAGGAAAGCCGGGGACCGCAAGGCCUGGCGCUAAUAGAUGAGCCCAAGUCGGAUUAGCUAGUUGGUAGGGUAACGGCCUACCAAGGCGACAAUCCGUAGCUGGUCUGAGAGGACGACCAGCCACACCGGAACUGAGACACGGUCCGGACUCCUACGGGAGGCAGCAGUGGGGAAUAUUGGACAAUGGGGGCAACCCUGAUCCAGCGACGCCGCGUGGGUGAAGAAGGCCUGCGGGUUGUAAAGCCCUUUCGGGUGGGGAAGAAAAGUCUCGACCUAAUACGUCGGGACCUUGACGUAACCCACUAAAGAAGCACCGGCUAACUCUGUGCCAGCAGCCG